CAAAGAUACCAUAUUCUCAAAGCUGCCGCUGUCGAUGAUCACCAAGCAUACUUUGCCAAGAGAAGUGCAUUUAGUAUGAAACACAUUUUUUCUCACCCAACUUUCAUUGUUGGCCACAUAUGACACUUGUAAACUACGUUGCAAUACAAUAGACAAACCAUGAUCAGCAUAAGUAAUCUCUUCCUCAUCAUCAUCGUCUUUUGGUUCGUCAUCAGUUUCAUCUUCUCCUCCAUCACUAUGAUCUUCAACCAAAGUUACAAUCCUCCUAUUUGGACAAUCUGAUGCGAUAUGCCCAAAACCAUGACAUUUGAAGCAUUUUCGGCCACUUGGGGUAGAAGAAUUAGGUGUUUUUUUGCUGCCAGCAGAUUCUUCACCCUUUUCUUGCACCUUCGAUAUCACCUUGCUUUG
Molecule: long non-coding RNA, 408 nt
Filed under: Musa acuminata (dwarf banana)
Lineage: Eukaryota; Viridiplantae; Streptophyta; Magnoliopsida; Zingiberales; Musaceae
Description: long non-coding RNA (MACU_LNC005817)
Source: RNAcentral